This 211-nucleotide ribosomal RNA is filed under the name uncultured bacterium. Its description in RNAcentral is "partial 16S ribosomal RNA". It matches the Rfam family "Bacterial small subunit ribosomal RNA", at positions 1289 to 1500 of the family's 1533-position model. The record is from RNAcentral.
CAGUUCAGACUGCAGGCUGCAACUCGCCUGCACGAAGUCGGAAUUGCUAGUAAUCGUAGGUCAGCAUACUACGGUGAAUACGUUCCCGGGCCUUGUACACACCGCCCGUCAAACCAUGAGAGUUGCAACACCCGAAGUCGGUAGUCUAACCGCAAGGAGGACGCCGCCGAAGGUGGGGUUGAUGAUUAGGGUUAAGUCGUAACAAGGUACC